UUCUAUGACAUGCCAUCCAGAACACACCAGAUCUUGUCUGAUGUCAGAAGCUAAGCAGGGUAGGGCCUGGUUAGUAACUUCAUAGGAGGAAUUCUAGAUAACCCUUGCAUCAAUAAAGA
Molecule: ribosomal RNA, 119 nt
Filed under: Jaculus jaculus (lesser Egyptian jerboa)
Lineage: Eukaryota; Metazoa; Chordata; Mammalia; Rodentia; Dipodidae
Source: RNAcentral